Molecule: small RNA, 149 nt
Filed under: Kosakonia cowanii
Lineage: Bacteria; Pseudomonadati; Pseudomonadota; Gammaproteobacteria; Enterobacterales; Enterobacteriaceae
Description: Leucine operon leader
Rfam family: Leucine operon leader
About the family: At least 6 amino acid operons are known to be regulated by attenuation.
Source: RNAcentral
GGAGCAAGAUUCAUGAUUCGUCACGUUCGUUUCGCUGGUCUACUACUACUAAACGCAUCAACUGUGCGCGGUAGACCGGUGGACGACACUCAGAACUGAAUCGUCUUCCUGUUAAGACUAAGAACCCGCGCCUUGGCGCGGGUUUUUUU